Bufo bufo (common toad) is the source of this 241-nucleotide long non-coding RNA. RefSeq lists it as uncharacterized. NCBI's taxonomy places the organism in Eukaryota, Metazoa, Chordata, Amphibia, Anura, Bufonidae. The transcript is spliced from 3 exons. The record is from RefSeq and is a predicted model, not a curated record.
CCGAAUCAAAGGAGAAGACAUUCGCCACUGCUACACAAAACAAAAAAAUUCUGGACCAUCAGGGUGAGGAAAAUGAUUUGAACAUUUAUGUGGGCCUUCAAAACUUGCGCACAUGAUGUUAAAAAAAAUGUCCCUCUUCAAUGCAGUACAGCCAGCUAUCCAUCUCCAGAAUUGUUGGAUUUUUUACACCAAUUACUUUCACCUCAGUGAAAGAUAUCAAACCACCUGAUGGUCCAGAAAC